RNAcentral lists this ribosomal RNA (492 nucleotides) under uncultured bacterium. RNAcentral describes it as "partial 16S ribosomal RNA". It matches the Rfam family "Bacterial small subunit ribosomal RNA", at positions 29 to 507 of the family's 1533-position model. The record is from RNAcentral.
AGUGAACGCUGGCGGUAGGCCUAACACAUGCAAGUCGAACGGCAGCACAGUAAGAGCUUGCUCUUACGGGUGGCGAGUGGCGGACGGGUGAGGAAUACAUCAGAAUCUACUUUUUCGGGGGGGAUAACGUAGGGAAACUUACGCUAAUACCGCAUACGACCUACGGGUGAAAGCAGGGGAUCUUCGGACCUUGCGCGAUUGAAUGAGCCGGUGUCGGAUUAGCUAGUUGGCGGGGUAAAGGCCCACCAAGGCGACGAUCCGUAGCUGGUCUGAGAGGAUGAUCAGCCACACUGGAACUGAGACACGGUCCAGACUCCUACGGGAGGCAGCAGUGGGGAAUAUUGGACAAUGGGCGCAAGCCUGAUCCAGCCAUACCGCGUGGGUGAAGAAGGCCUUCGGGUUGUAAAGCCCUUUUGUUGGGAAAGAAAAGCAGCAGGUUAAUACCCCGCUGUUCUGACGGUACCCAAAGAAUAAGCACCGGCUAACUUCGUG